RNAcentral lists this ribosomal RNA (468 nucleotides) under uncultured bacterium. RNAcentral's name for it is "partial 16S ribosomal RNA". It matches the Rfam family "Bacterial small subunit ribosomal RNA", at positions 28 to 507 of the family's 1533-position model. The record is from RNAcentral.
GACGAACGCUGGCGGCGUGCUUAACACAUGCAAGUCGAACGGAAAGGCCCUGCUUUUGUGGGGUUCUCGUGUGGCGAACGGGUGUGUAACCCGUGAGUAACCUGCCCUUGACUUUGGGAUAACUUCAGGAAACUGGGGCUAAUACCCGAUAGGAGCUCCUGCUGCAUGGUGUGGGUUGGAAAGUUUCGGCGGUUGGGGAUGGACUCGCGGCUUAUCAGCUUGUUGGUGGGGUAGUGGCUUACCAAGGCUUUGACGGGUAGCCGGCAUGAGAGGGUGACCGGCGACAGUGGGACUGAGAUACGGCACAGAAGCCUACGGGAGGCAGCAGUGGGGAAGAUUGCAGAAUGGGCGGAAGCCUGAUGCAGCAACGCCGCGUGCGGGAUGACGGCAUUCGGGUUGUAAACCGCUUGCGCCUGUGACGAAGCGUGAGUGACGGUAAUGGGUAAAGAAGCACCGGCUAACUACGUG